Molecule: ribosomal RNA, 492 nt
Filed under: uncultured bacterium
Lineage: Bacteria
Description: partial 16S ribosomal RNA
Rfam family: Bacterial small subunit ribosomal RNA
Source: RNAcentral
GAUGAACGCUGGCGGUAUGCCUAACACAUGCAAGUCGAGCGGCCGGACGAGAAGAUCGCGCCCUUGAGGGUGGCGGGGGGCGGACGGGUGAGGCAUGGAUAGGAAUCUACUAUGUCUUGGGUGAUAACGGGGGAAAACUGACGCUAAUACAGCAUACGACGUACGGGUGAAAUCAAGAGAUCUUCGGACCUUUCGCGAUACUAUUAGACGACGCCGCAUUGGCUAGGUGGGGUGGUAACGGCACACCAAGGCAACGCUACGUAGCUGAGCUGAGAGGAUGAUCGGCCACACUGGAACUGAGACACGGUCCAGACUCCUACGGGAGGCAGCAGUAGGGAAUCUUCGACAAUGGGCGAAAGCCUGAUGCAGCAAUACCGCGUGGGUGAAGAAGGCCUUCGGAUUGUAAAGCUCUUUUGUUAGGGAAGAAAAGAAGCGGGUUAAUCUCCCGAUGUUUUGACGGUACCUAAACAAAAAGCCACGGCUAACUUCGUG